AAGUUUGAUGGCGACCGGCGCACGGGUGAGUAACACGUAUCCAACCUGCCGAUGACUCGGGGAUAGCCUUUCGAAAGAAAGAUUAAUACCCGAUGGCAUAGUUCUUCCGCAUGGUGGAACUAUUAAAGAAUUUCGGUCAUCGAUGGGGACGCGUUCCAUUAGGUUGUUGGCGGGUAACGGCCCACCAAGCCUUCGAUGGAUAGGGGUUCUGAGAGGAAGGUCCCCCACAUUGGAACUGAGACACGGUCCAAACUCCUACGGGAGGCAGCAUG
This 272-nucleotide ribosomal RNA is filed under the name uncultured bacterium. RNAcentral describes it as "partial 16S ribosomal RNA". It matches the Rfam family "Bacterial small subunit ribosomal RNA", at positions 81 to 353 of the family's 1533-position model. The record is from RNAcentral.